Molecule: long non-coding RNA, 441 nt
Organism: Centropristis striata (black sea bass)
Lineage: Eukaryota; Metazoa; Chordata; Actinopteri; Perciformes; Serranidae
Exons: 3
Source: RefSeq, a predicted model, not a curated record
UGGAGAUCUCUAUGUCCAGGGCCAGCUUGACAUUCAUGAGCUCCUGGUACUCUCUGAGCUGCCGAGCCAUGUCCUGCUUGGCCCUCUGCAGAGCCAGCUCCAGGUCCUUGAUGCGACUCUUGGCAUCCUGCACGGCCCCCUCACCACGCUGCUCCGCUUCCACGAUCUGGCCUUCAAGGCUCUCACGCUUAAAAUAAUGCAUAGCCUGGAUCUCGUUCUGCAGGCGGCUGAUCAUUCUUUUGAGCUCAGAUAUUUCCCCCUUGGUGCUGCGCAGCUCAUUUCCAUACUGGUCGGCUUGUGCAGACAUCUGGUCAAACUGGUGUCGGCAGAGAUCAGACAGAGGAACAAACACUUUUCAGCCUCUUCACGACUGCGGGCAGCAAUUUCUUCAUACUGAGCCUUCACAUCAGCCACGACCUGAUCCAUGUUCAGGCCACGAGC